This 429-nucleotide ribosomal RNA is filed under the name uncultured bacterium. Its description in RNAcentral is "bacterial SSU rRNA". It matches the Rfam family "Bacterial small subunit ribosomal RNA", at positions 355 to 776 of the family's 1533-position model. The record is from RNAcentral.
UGGGGAAUAUUGGACAAUGGGCGCAAGCCUGAUCCAGCCAUGCCGCGUGUGUGAAGAAGGCCUUCGGGUUGUAAAGCACUUUUGUCCGGAAAGAAAAGCACUGGGUUAAUACCCUGGUGUCAUGACGGUACCGGAAGAAUAAGCACCGGCUAACUUCGUGCCAGCAGCCGCGGUAAUACGAAGGGUGCAAGCGUUACUCGGAAUUACUGGGCGUAAAGCGUGCGUAGGCGGUUUGUUAAGUCUGAUGUGAAAGCCCUGGGCUCAACCUGGGAAUGGCAUUGGAUACUGGCAACCUAGAAUGUGGUAGAGGGUGGCGGAAUUCCCGGUGUAGCAGUGAAAUGCGUAGAUAUCGGGAGGAACAUCCGUGGCGAAGGCGGCCACCUGGACCAACAUUGACGCUGAGGCACGAAAGCGUGGGGAGCAAACAGG